UGAAAUAGGCAGGAACUGUACACUGUGCA
Molecule: non-coding RNA, 29 nt
Filed under: Homo sapiens (human)
Lineage: Eukaryota; Metazoa; Chordata; Mammalia; Primates; Hominidae
Source: RNAcentral